AUGAGGACGAGCAGAAUAAUUAACACUUGGUUUUGCCAGAAAGGUGGAAACAUUAUCAGCAGCGUUGCUUCCUGUCAUGGCCGAAGGACGCCGUUAAUCUCAGGUCCAAUCUGUGGUCGCCCUGCAGAGGUCGCCCUGCAGAGGUCGCCCUGCAGACGUCGCCCUGCAGAGGUCGCCCUGCAGAGGUCGCCCUGCAGAGGUCGCCCUGCAGACGCCGUGCUGUGGUCGCCCUGCAGAGGUCGCCCUGCAGAGGUCGCCCUGCAGAGGUCGCCCUGCAGAGGUCGCCCUGCAGACGCCGCCCUGCAGAGGUCGCCCUGCAGAGGUCGCCCUGCAGACGCCGCCCUGCAGAGGUCGCCCUGCAGAGGUCGCCCUGCAGACGUCGCCCUGCAGAGGUCGCCCUGCAGAGGUCGCCCUGCAGACGUCGCCCUGCAGAGGUCGCCCUGCAGAGGUCGCCCUGCAGAGGUCGCCCUGCAGACGCCGUGCUGUGGUCGCCCUGCAGAGGUCGCCCUGCAGAGGUCGCCCUGCAGAGGUCGCCCUGCAGAGGUCGCCCUGCAGACGCCGCCCUGCAGAGGUCGCCCUGCAGAGGUCGCCCUGCAGACGCCGUGCUGUGGUCGCCCUGCAGAGGUCGCCCUGCAGAGGUCGCCCUGCAGACGUCGCCCUGCAGAGGUCGCCCUGCAGACGUCGCCCUGCAGAGGUCGCCCUGCAGACGCCGUGCUGUGGUCGCCCUGCAGAGGUCGCCCUGCAGAGGUCGCCCUGCAGACGUCGCCCUGCAGACGCCGUGCUGUGGUCGCCCUGCAGAGGUCGCCCUGCAGAGGUCGCCCUGCAGAGGUCGCCCUGCAGACGCCGUGCUGUGGUCGCCCUGCAGAGGUCGCCCUGCAGAGGUCGCCCUGCAGACGUCGCCCUGCAGACGUCGCCCUGCAGACGCCGUGCUGUGGUCGCCCUGCAGAGGUCGCCCUGCAGAGGUCGCCCUGCAGAGGUCGUGCUGUGGUCGCCCUGCACCACCCUUACACCCACCUGUUUGAACAGCUUCUCCCUCUCCUCUUGGGGGGACACCAGGAUCUUCUCUUCCGCUAG
This 1074-nucleotide long non-coding RNA is filed under the name Takifugu rubripes (torafugu). RNAcentral's name for it is "lncRNA (ENSTRUG00000028084.1)". The record is from RNAcentral. Lineage: Eukaryota; Metazoa; Chordata; Actinopteri; Tetraodontiformes; Tetraodontidae.